GGAGGGAUGCGCCGAAUUGGUAAGGCAACGUCCUGCUAAGACGUAGCCCUGUAAAAAGGGCGUGGGGGUUCGAGUCCCCCUCCCUCCGCCA
This 91-nucleotide transfer RNA is filed under the name candidate division WWE3 bacterium CG08_land_8_20_14_0_20_43_13. RNAcentral describes it as "tRNA-Ser". It matches the Rfam family "tRNA". Rfam says of the family: Transfer RNA (tRNA) molecules are approximately 80 nucleotides in length. Their secondary structure includes four short double-helical elements and three loops (D, anti-codon, and T loops). Further hydrogen bonds mediate the characteristic L-shaped molecular structure. tRNAs have two regions of fundamental functional importance: the anti-codon, which is responsible for specific mRNA codon recognition, and the 3' end, to which the tRNAs corresponding amino acid is attached (by aminoacyl-tRNA synthetases). tRNAs cope with the degeneracy of the genetic code in two manners: having more than one tRNA (with a specific anti-codon) for a particular amino acid; and 'wobble' base-pairing, i.e. permitting non-standard base-pairing at the 3rd anti-codon position. The record is from RNAcentral. Lineage: Bacteria; candidate division WWE3.